CCGCCAUUAGCUCAUCAGGAAGAGCGCCAGCCUUCGAAGCUGGUUGCGCGGAGUUCGGGUCCCCGAAGGCGGUCCA
Molecule: transfer RNA, 76 nt
Filed under: Escherichia coli
Lineage: Bacteria; Pseudomonadati; Pseudomonadota; Gammaproteobacteria; Enterobacterales; Enterobacteriaceae
Description: tRNA-Arg(tcg)
Rfam family: tRNA
About the family: Transfer RNA (tRNA) molecules are approximately 80 nucleotides in length. Their secondary structure includes four short double-helical elements and three loops (D, anti-codon, and T loops).
Source: RNAcentral